UUGGGCUAAGAGACAAAACCACACAAUCAACCCAAUCGACCGUUGACACUUCAGGAAGAACCACAAUCAGUAAUCUUUCCAGCUCUUGAUAUACGCGUGAAGAGUGUAGCACAAAUAUACUCCCUCGAACAUUAUCAAGCUGCUAAAUUCUGAUGCAAAAAUUUAUGAAAGUUUCCCGAGGGAGUUAGCAUUUUGUACAGGAGCCCUACAAACAUCAGUCAGGCAGCACAACACAAUGCACAUGGCUAAGGAGGAGGAACAGGUUCUGUUUCUUUUUCAGACGUUUGAAUCUUGAUUUUAUUUUAUUAUUAAUAUUUUUUUUUGUUCAUACCCCCAAUUGGUUGACGUGCCUCUUGUAAUUUUAUAAUAUGAAAGCAAAAAUGGAAUAGAAUUUCUAAAAAAGUUGGGAUUAGUAUACUAUUUUCUAGUGUUAAAAAUGAUUUUUGCAAUAUUUUCCUUUAUAAUCUGAUGCGGAAGCUCAUGACGUAAUAAUCCCCUGGUGGUGCCCUAUGGCAAGUAUAAGAAUCAUUAAUCAUCAUCACUUCUGGUACUUUACUUAUUAUGCGAAUUUGGCACUGCAAUUUUUCUCCAAUAGGAUCCAUGACAAGUAAGAACAUCUGAUCAAAAACACCAUUGGUAUGAGCACAAAGUUUCCCCACAGUUCUACCACUAAUAUACAGUUAGUUAGUUGAACUCUUCCUGGCAAUGUUUCUUUAUUAGGAGCUACAAAAAAGGACAAUAACCGUCUGGUCAACAACGCAUUUGGUAGUAAGCACAUAUUUACCCCCAAAAAGUUCCCUCACUAACAUGUUAGCAUCAGGUUAUUUCUACGUCAGUAGCAUGCAUCCACAAUUGACUCUUCUCUCUCUCUAAUCGACGAGAAGGAAACCUUGAUCCCAUCCAUUGGUGGGAGGGGAAAGGGGAAACUACGAGUAAAACAUAUACCACGUGCACCGUUUGGGCCCAAUUAUGAGAACCACAAUAUUUUUACUUACGGACUAGGAAGAGUUGAAC
Non-coding RNA from Prunus avium (sweet cherry), 1014 nucleotides. NCBI's taxonomy places the organism in Eukaryota, Viridiplantae, Streptophyta, Magnoliopsida, Rosales, Rosaceae. The record is from RefSeq and is a predicted model, not a curated record.